GAUGAACGCUAGCGGCGGGCUUAACACAUGCAAGCCGAACGGCAAGUCUCUGAUCAUUUUUGGUCCUAGAGUGGCGCACGGGUGCGUAACACGUAUGUAACCUGCCCGCGACAUUAGGAUAACUUCCCGAAAGUGGAACUAACCCCCCAUAACACCACCUGCAGCCAUCUGGUUAUGGUUAAAUCUCAACGGGUCGCGAUUGAGCCGCCGGUUGUCUAGCUAGUUGGCGGGGUAAAGGCCGACCAGGCCGGUGAUCAAUAGGGGUUCUGAGGGGAAGGUCCCCAACACUGGAACUGAGAUACGGGGCAGACUCCUACGGGAGGCAGCAGUAGGGAAUAUUGGACAAGGGUUGCAAGACUGAUGCAGCCAUGCCGCGUGCAGGAAGAAGGCCUUCGGGGUCGUAAACUGCUUUUUGCUGUGGAUAAAAUACCCGGGCGCGGGGAAUUGAAGGUAACAGGGGAAUAAGCCACGGCUAACUACGUG
Molecule: ribosomal RNA, 483 nt
Filed under: uncultured bacterium
Lineage: Bacteria
Description: partial 16S ribosomal RNA
Rfam family: Bacterial small subunit ribosomal RNA
Source: RNAcentral